GACGAACGCUGGCGGCGUGCUUAACACAUGCAAGUCGAACGGAAAGGCCCUGCUUUUGUGGGGUGCUCGGGUGGCGAACGGGUGAAUAACACGUGAGUAACCUGCCCUUGACUUUGGGAUAACUUCAGGAAACUGGGGCUAAUACCGGAUAGGAGCUCCUGCUGCAUGGUGGGGGUUGGAAAGUUUCGGCGGUUGGGGAUGGACUCGCGGCUUAUCAGCUUGUUGGUGGGGUAGUGGCUUACCAAGGCUUUGACGGGUAGCCGGCCUGAGAGGGUGACCGGCCACAUUGGGACUGAGAUACGGCCCAGACUCCUACGGGAGGCAGCAGUGGGGAAUAUUGCACAAUGGGCGGAAGCCUGAUGCAGCAACGCCGCGUGCGGGAUGACGGCCUUCGGGUUGUAAACCGCUUUCGCCUGUGACGAAGCGUGAGUGACGGUAAUGGGUAAAGAAGCACCGGCUAACUACGUG
Molecule: ribosomal RNA, 468 nt
Filed under: uncultured bacterium
Lineage: Bacteria
Description: partial 16S ribosomal RNA
Rfam family: Bacterial small subunit ribosomal RNA
Source: RNAcentral